Long non-coding RNA from Bombus pascuorum, 1583 nucleotides. RefSeq lists it as uncharacterized. NCBI's taxonomy places the organism in Eukaryota, Metazoa, Arthropoda, Insecta, Hymenoptera, Apidae. The record is from RefSeq and is a predicted model, not a curated record. The transcript has 3 exons.
AGUCGUGACGACGACGCCGGGGCCAAUUCCCGCCUGAAAAGAAUAUUCACAAUGCCCAUUCCGCGGCUCAUCCUUUAUUUUUAAGGUGUCUUCUCUAUGCGCUGUGCCCGUGGAUAUCCCCCUUCGCUCUACUUACAGCGGCGACAAGCGAUAAUGAAUAACCACACGACGAACAAACGCGAGCUAACGGUCGACCAAGACGAUCGCGCUUUCGUCACCUGGAACCACGACGCUGCAUACAAGACGCUUUGGAUUUGUAUGGCGACCAGCCAUGGAUCUGUAAUCGUUCGCCUUUGUAUGGUGCUUGAAAUUGGAGAAUGAAUAUCGUCCAGGGUUUUUGUUGCUAUUGUGCCGCGGUGAAAUAUUUGUCGCGUGGAAUUCUUUUUGGGUAGGAUCGUGUAUUGGGUUGGUUAUUGUGUAACAAAGGUGGUUUUCGUAGUAAAAGUUCGGAUAAAUAAGUAAUAAGUGGGAUAAGCGUAAAGCUAAUAAUAAUAGUAUUGUGAUGCGAUGAGAUAUUUGUCGUGUGGAAUUCCUUCUUGGUAGAAUCAUGCAGUAGGUUGUUGUAUCAUAAAUUAAAACUACAGGUUCGGCCCUUCGAGCUCGAAUAGAUGUAAAUAUUCUUCUGUGUUUCAGAAAAUUAUUUUCGAUAUGGUAGGAAAGUCCUUCUUUUUGAAUAUCUGUACAAGUAUCAGAAAAAUAUACCUGUCUGAUGGAAUCAAGCCGAACGCUAAUAUUUUCAAUGUAAAAGUGAAGAUUCUUAAAACAACGUCCGAAGAUGUAAGAGAAACCUACGAAACAAUCUAAAAUUCCAAAUUCCACGCUCUCGCGGCAGAAGCAAGCGCAACAUAUAUAUUUUGAUACAGCUACCAUAUAACCGGCAACGUGUGCAAGCGGACGUUCCCGAAAUCCGAUACGAAGCAAAGAGAGGAGCAUGGAAUUCCGGAAUGCGGACGAUGGGUCGUCUACGGCCCUGAUCUUGGAUGCAGCCAGCUCGUGAUCGAGAGGCGUUUAAGGGAUGGCAACAGCGGCGGAUGGCAAAAAGAACGGGUUCGUCUUUGACUUCGCUCGUGAGACUUCAAGUGGUGAAGAAAAAAAUGGGACUUGUAUUUUUAAAAGCUUUGGGAAGUUACUGAUACAGGGAUUUAUCUGACGUUUUUGUAAAUUGCGCGUUGAAAAGACUGGAGAAUUAAGAUUUAAUUUUAUCGAAGGACGACCUGAAUCUUCCUUUAAUUUUCACUCUUAAUUAUAUAACUUCUGUUUAAUUCAACAUUGGAUUAGCGCGUUUAAUUUGCAUUAUUUUUUCAAUCAAUUCCGUGAUUUAACAUUGAGGGUAUGAAAAAUAGAUUCCACGAUCUUACGAAGUUUGAAGAAAUUGAAAUAACCACAGCUAUAGCAUAAGCAAUCUUUUUAAAUCAUGAAAAUUUUCUUUAUGCCUCUGUCUUAUUCACCGUUAUGGUCAAAUGUUAUUUUAAUACAGUACUUUACAGUAUAGUACUUUAAGAAAACAAUAUAUUUAUACCUUUCCUUGAAAAAACACUAUAUUUAUCUUUUGUACCUUGACAAAAUCAAUACACAAAUUUUAC